GGGGAAUCUUCCGCAAUGGACGAAAGUCUGACGGAGCAACGCCGCGUGAGUGAUGACGGCCUUCGGGUUGUAAAGCUCUGUUAAUCGGGACGAAAGGCCUUCUUGCGAAUAGUUAGAAGGAUUGACGGUACCGGAAUAGAAAGCCACGGCUAACUACGUGCCAGCAGCCGCGGUAAUACGUAGGUGGCAAGCGUUGUCCGGAAUUAUUGGGCGUAAAGCGCGCGCAGGCGGAUUGGUCAGUCUGUCUUAAAAGUUCGGGGCUUAACCCCGUGAUGGGAUGGAAACUGCCAAUCUAGAGUAUCGGAGAGGAAAGUGGAAUUCCUAGUGUAGCGGUGAAAUGCGUAGAUAUUAGGAAGAACACCAGUGGCGAAGGCGACUUUCUGGACGAAAACUGACGCUGAGGCGCGAAAGCCAGGGGAGCGAACGGGAUUAGAUACCCCGGUAGUCCUGGCCGUAAACGAUGGGUGCUAGGUGUAGGAGGUAUCGACCCCUUCUGCGCCGGAGUUAACGCAAUAAGUACCCCGCCUGGGGAGUACGACCGCAAGGUUG
This 549-nucleotide ribosomal RNA is filed under the name uncultured bacterium. RNAcentral's name for it is "bacterial SSU rRNA". It matches the Rfam family "Bacterial small subunit ribosomal RNA", at positions 356 to 896 of the family's 1533-position model. The record is from RNAcentral.